UACGAAGGGGGCUAGCGUUGCUCGGAAUCACUGGGCGUAAAGCGCACGUAGGCGGAUUGCUAAGUCAGGGGUGAAAUCCUGGAGCUCAACUCCAGAACUGCCUUUGAUACUGGCGGUCUCGAGUCCGGGAGAGGUGAGUGGAACUGCGAGUGUAGAGGUGAAAUUCGUAGAUAUUCGCAAGAACACCAGUGGCGAAGGCGGCUCACUGGCUCGGUACUGACGCUGAGGUGCGAAAGCGUGGGGAGCAAACAGG
This 253-nucleotide ribosomal RNA is filed under the name uncultured bacterium. RNAcentral's name for it is "partial 16S ribosomal RNA". It matches the Rfam family "Bacterial small subunit ribosomal RNA", at positions 524 to 776 of the family's 1533-position model. The record is from RNAcentral.